CAGCCCUAAACGAUGCGCGUUAGGUGUAUCGGUGACCACGAGUCACCGAGGUGCCGAAGGGAAACCGUGAAACGUGCCGCCUGGGAAGUACGGUCGCAAGGCUGAAACUUAAAGGAAUUGGCGGGGGGAGCACUACAACGGGUGGAGCCUGCGGUUUAAUUGGACUCAACGCCGGAAACUCACCGGGGGCGACAGCAAUAUGUAGGUCAAGCUAAAGACUUUACCAGAAUCGCUGAGAGGAGGUGCAUGGCGUAGUCGUGU
This 261-nucleotide ribosomal RNA is filed under the name uncultured archaeon. Its description in RNAcentral is "partial 16S ribosomal RNA". It matches the Rfam family "Archaeal small subunit ribosomal RNA", at positions 748 to 1009 of the family's 1478-position model. The record is from RNAcentral.